This 318-nucleotide long non-coding RNA is filed under the name Numida meleagris (helmeted guineafowl). Its description in RNAcentral is "lncRNA (ENSNMEG00000014586.1)". Lineage: Eukaryota; Metazoa; Chordata; Aves; Galliformes; Numididae. The record is from RNAcentral.
AUUCAGUACCAUGUGAAUUCAAUCCUUAGAAUAAUCACAGCUGGUGCAUAGGGAAUAAAUGACCAAAUGACUGAGGGUUUGCAGUGCCAUGCCCUAUCUUGACAUGGGGAUUUCAGCUAUUCAUGGGAUUGUGUUGGGACUCUUCAUCAAUAAUUGAACUAAAGGAGGAAAACAAGCUGCAGUGAAAAUGGAAGACUGAAAAUGUUAUUGACAACCUGUUUAACUACUGGUUAUGCAGCAUCCCAAAGAGCAAUGACAUGGAACACUCACUACCGGGCUCCUCACAUAUUGAAAGGAACAAGAGGAAAUAAAAGCGAG